AACGAACGCUGGCGACAGGCCUAACACAUGCAAGUCGAACGCUCUAGCAAUAGAGAGUGGCAGACGGGUGAGUAACGCGUGGGAACCUUCCCAAUGGUGCAGAAUAGCCCAGGGAAACUUGGGGUAAUACUGCAUAAGCCCUUCGGGGGAAAGAUUUAUCGCCAUUGGAUGGGCCCGCGUCGGAUUAGCUAGUUGGUGAGGUAAUGGCUCACCAAGGCAACGAUCCGUAGCUGGUUUGAGAGAAUGACCAGCCACACUGGGACUGAGACACGGCCCAGACUCCUACGGGAGGCAGCAGUGGGGAAUCUUGGACAAUGGGCGCAAGCCUAAUCCAGCCAUGCCGCGUGAGUGACGAAGGCCUUAGGGUUGUAAAGCUCUUUUGCCGGGGACGAUAAUGACGGUACCCGGAGAAUAAGUCCCGGCUAACUUCGUGCCAGCCGCCGCAGUAA
This 449-nucleotide ribosomal RNA is filed under the name uncultured bacterium. RNAcentral's name for it is "partial 16S ribosomal RNA". It matches the Rfam family "Bacterial small subunit ribosomal RNA", at positions 29 to 523 of the family's 1533-position model. The record is from RNAcentral.